Molecule: ribosomal RNA, 518 nt
Filed under: uncultured Bacillota bacterium
Lineage: Bacteria; Bacillati; Bacillota
Description: bacterial SSU rRNA
Rfam family: Bacterial small subunit ribosomal RNA
Source: RNAcentral
UAGGGAAUCUUCCACAAUGGACGAAAGUCUGAUGGAGCAAUGCCGCGUGAGUGAAGAAGGUUUUCGGAUCGUAAAGCUCUGUUGUAAGGGAAGAACAAGUAUGGGAGUAACUGCCCGUACCUUGACGGUACCUUAUUAGAAAGCCACGGCUAACUACGUGCCAGCAGCCGCGGUAAUACGUAGGUGGCAAGCGUUGUCCGGAAUUAUUGGGCGUAAAGCGCGCGCAGGCGGCCUUUUAAGUCUGAUGUGAAAGCCCCCGGCUCAACCGGGGAAGGUCAUUGGAAACUGAAGGGCUUGAGUACAGAAGAGGAAAGCGGAAUUCCACGUGUAGCGGUGAAAUGCGUAGAGAUGUGGAGGAACACCAGUGGCGAAGGCGGCUUUCUGGUCUGUAACUGACGCUGAGGCGCGAAAGCGUGGGGAGCAAACAGGAUUAGAUACCCUGGUAGUCCACGCCGUAAACGAUGAGUGCUAAGUGUUAGGGGGUUUCCGCCCCUUAGUGCUGGAGCAAACGCAUUAAG